Molecule: ribosomal RNA, 1143 nt
Filed under: Triticum aestivum (bread wheat)
Lineage: Eukaryota; Viridiplantae; Streptophyta; Magnoliopsida; Poales; Poaceae
Description: partial small subunit ribosomal RNA
Source: RNAcentral
AUGGUCACCUUCGGUUGGUCCGGCCCCGGCCUGCACGACGACGCCUAUCUGCCGCGUCCUGUCAACCAGCUGAGCUGCGGCCGGUUCGACCUGGACGACGCCUUCCUCCGCCAGCUCCAGUGCGACUUCGGCGGAGGAGGCCAGGUGAGCUCGAGCUACGGUGCUGCAGUCGGAGGCGCAGCGGCUAAUAACGGCGCGCUGGGAUUCUUUGGCUCGGAGGUCGACGUGUUCUCGUCCGUCGUCGACGGCGCCAGCGCGCACUACGGCCUGCUCGACUCGGCGCUCGCCUUCUCCCGGGUGCUCCCGUGCGGCGGGGAGGGUGACCCCGGGGCCGUCUCCAACGGCGCCAUGUUCUCCGGCUACAGCGGCACCACCGUCUGUAAUAUCUCCUCCGGGGAGUCCAACAACUACAGCAGCGGUGGCGGCGGCCACGACGUAACCGAGGUGGCGUCGCCGACGUCCACCAUAUCGCCCACCACGACGUCGCAUCCCACGAUUACGUCGUCGGCACAGCAGGCGCUCCACGCGAACCGGAAGCUACCCGCCGACGACUGCGCCGCCCCGCUCCCACACGCCGGCACAAAGCGCAAGGCCCCCACCACGACAGCGACGAGCAUCACGUUCGGCCAGGACACCAACGCCGGAGCGGCCGGCGAGUACAAGCCGGACAUGGAGGCCAUGGCGCAGGUGAAGGAGAUGAUCUACCGCGCGGCGGCCAUGCGGCCAGUGAACCUCGUCACGGAGCCCACCGCGGCGGGCAGCAUCAAGCCACGGCGCAAAAACGUGCGUAUCUCGAGCGAUCCGCAGACGGUGGCGGCCCGUCUCCGGCGGGAGCGCGUGAGUGACCGCCUCCGCGUGCUGCAGAAGCUCGUCCCUGGUGGGAGCAAGAUGGACACGGCGUCCAUGCUGGACGAGGCCGCCAGCUACCUCAAGUUCCUCAAGUCCCAGGUCCAGGCGCUGGAAACCCUAGGAACGACGAGCAGCACCGGCGCCAGCGCCGCUGCGGUCGCCAGCACGGGCAGGUUACACUCACAGCAGCAUUAUUACAGCAACAACCCUGGGUUUCUCGGAUUUGCGAGAAAUAACAACAACAUUUCUUCCGUCUUCAGAAAUCCCAAUGGAAAUUCUGCCAGACUGUUGUAG